GUCUUUUUGAGAAUAAUUUAAAGUCUAAUCUGCCCACUGAUUAAUAUUAAAGGGCUGCAGUAUAAUGACUGUACAAAGGUAGCAUAAUCAAUAGUUUUUUAAUUGGAAACUUGUAUGAAAGAUUUGAUGAAAUAUAAACUGUCUCUUAUUUAUUAUUAGAAAUUUAUUUUUUAGUUAAAAAGCUAAAAUAAUUUUAAAAGACGAGAAGACCCUAUAGAGUUUUAUAUUUAUUUUUAUUUUAUAGGUAUAUAAAAAUUUAAAAUAAGAUAAAAAUAAAUAUUUUGUUGGGGUGACAGAAAAAUUAAAUUAACUUUUUUUAAAAAUUAAACAUAGAUAAAUGAUUAAAUGAUCCAUUAAUAAUGAUUAUAAGAAAAAAUUACCUUAGGGAUAACAGCGUAAUAUUUUUUUUUAGUUCGUAUAAAAAAGAAAGUUUGCGACCUCGAUGUUGGAUUAAGGUAAAAUUUAAAUGCAAAAGUUUAAAAUUUUGAUCUGUUCGAUCAUUAAAACCUU
This 510-nucleotide ribosomal RNA is filed under the name Hipparchia autonoe (Russian grayling). Its description in RNAcentral is "partial 16S ribosomal RNA". The stretch from base 387 to 510 matches the Rfam family "Bacterial large subunit ribosomal RNA", at positions 2473 to 2597 of the family's 2925-position model. Lineage: Eukaryota; Metazoa; Arthropoda; Insecta; Lepidoptera; Nymphalidae. The record is from RNAcentral.